This 256-nucleotide ribosomal RNA is filed under the name uncultured bacterium. RNAcentral's name for it is "partial 16S ribosomal RNA". It matches the Rfam family "Bacterial small subunit ribosomal RNA", at positions 524 to 776 of the family's 1533-position model. The record is from RNAcentral.
UACGUAGGGCGCAAGCGUUUAUCCGGAAUUAUUGGGCGUAAAGAGCUCGUAGGCGGUUUGUCGCGUCUGCCGUGAAAGUCCGGGGCUCAACUCCGGAUCUGCGGUGGGUACGGGCAGACUAGAGUGAUGUAGGGGGAGACUGGAAUUCCUGGUGUAGCGGUGAAAUGCGCAGAUAUCAGGAGGAACACCGGUGGCGAAGGCGGGGUCUCUGGGCAGUAACUGACGCUGAGGAGCGAAAGCGUGGGGAGCGAACAGG